Molecule: small nucleolar RNA, 107 nt
Organism: Gossypium arboreum
Lineage: Eukaryota; Viridiplantae; Streptophyta; Magnoliopsida; Malvales; Malvaceae
Rfam family: Plant small nucleolar RNA R71
About the family: R71 is a member of the C/D box family of snoRNAs containing the C (UGAUGA) and D (CUGA) box motifs. Multiple nearly identical copies of this snoRNA have been identified in Arabidopsis, and it is thought to function as a 2'-O-ribose methylation guide for 18S ribosomal RNA.
Source: Rfam
AAUCUAUGGUGAGAGCACCUUCUCAGCAAGUCCUUGUAUCUCUCCCAUGCAUCGUAAAGUCUUUCUAAAUCCAUCUGUACAAAAGAAGAGAUAUCACUACGCAAUUU